GACGAACGCUGGCGGCGUGCUUAACACAUGCAAGUCGAACGAAAAUACCAAGCUUGCUUGGUUGAUUAGUGGCGAACGGGUGAGUAACACGUGAGUAACCUGCCCCUUACUUUCCUGGAUAACUGCUCGAAAGGGUAGCUAAUACGGGAUAUUCUGACCAGCCUGCAUGGGUUGGUUUGGAAAGGUUGUUUUUCUGGUAAGGGAUGGGCUCGCGGCCUAUCAGCUUGUUGGUGGGGUGAUGGCCUACCAAGGCUUUGACGGGUAGCCGGCCUGAGAGGGUGGACGGUCACACUGGGACUGAGAUACGGCCCAGACUCCUACGGGAGGCAGCAGUGGGGAAUAUUGCACAAUGGGCGCAAGCCUGAUGCAGCGACGCCGCGUGAGGGAUGAAGGCCUUCGGGUUGUAAACCUCUUUCGUCAGGGAACAAGGCACUGCUUUUUUGGAGGUGUUGAGGGUACCUGGAUAAGAAGCGCCGGCUAACUACGUG
This 488-nucleotide ribosomal RNA is filed under the name uncultured bacterium. RNAcentral describes it as "partial 16S ribosomal RNA". It matches the Rfam family "Bacterial small subunit ribosomal RNA", at positions 28 to 507 of the family's 1533-position model. The record is from RNAcentral.